Molecule: long non-coding RNA, 2668 nt
Organism: Leucoraja erinaceus (little skate)
Lineage: Eukaryota; Metazoa; Chordata; Chondrichthyes; Rajiformes; Rajidae
Exons: 3
Source: RefSeq, a predicted model, not a curated record
UUCAUGGGGAUAACUCCCUCACACACACGUCACGCCGACACUCGGCGGCCCCGGCAAACUUCAAAGCGCUCUUCAAUCAGCUGUGAGGGUUGUUGGGUCUCCCUGUCUAUAGCGCCAGCACCGUCUCCCCGCAUUGCCAGAGAGCCAGCGAGUCGCUCUCCACCCAACGUCUACUCACCCUAUAACCAGCAUUUGCAACUUCUGUCCUGCCUCCCUCCCUCGGUGCCCGAGUUAUGUAUCACUGCCAUGUGUAUUAUGUGAGCUAUCGCAGCUCGGCAGCGAGACUUCUUUCAUCUCCGAGUGUGGACCGCACGGCACCCGGCCCCGCCGCUGGGUUUCAGUGAGAUACUGAGGGCGCCACGUUCAGUCCGAGCGCUGUCGGGGAUCCAUCUUCUCUCCGAUGCUGCUACGCCGGUGUUUGUAGAAGGACGGGUUUGCUGCCAAGCCGGGGAAUCAAGCCGCCCCACUCACCGAGGCUGGACUGUUAUCCAACCCGCAAUCAAUAUCAGAAAGAAGAACAGUCCCGGCUGUCCGGCAUAACUUGGAGACACAAGAGACUGCAGGUGCUGCAAUCUUGAACCAAACACAAAGUGCUGGAGGAACUCAGCGGGCCACGCAGCAUCAGUGGAAGGAAUAAACAGGCGACGUUUCGGGUCGGGACCCCUCUUCAGACCUUAGCAUCCUGAUUAUGGGAUCCCACCUUACAGAGUGAUUGCAUUUUACCAGUCUCAGUCUGCGUGGCACUUUGAAGUAUCCUGUGGUCAGAAAAAACAAUCUAGAAAUGUAACCGCCACACGCCAUGCAUGGCACUCGCGCCGGGGUUAGCAACUGCUGGUUGCCCUCGAACUGAUGCAUUCAUAAUGCCAGGUAGUCAUAAAAAUAGGGGACAUUACAUAACAACUCUGGUUACAUAAAAACGAUGCAAAUUAAUUGUAAAUUAUUAUUGUUCGUUCUUUUUUUUCUGAGUUGUUGUUAUAUUAUUUAUUAUGACUACAUAUUCUGUUGUGCUGCAGCAAGUAAAACAAUUUCAUUGUUCUAUCUGUGACACGUAACAAUAAAACACUCUUGACUCUUGACUCUAAAGUUGUUCGAAUCUCCAGAACCAGGGGCCACAGUCUUAGAAUAAAGGGGAGGUCAUUUAAGGCUGAGGUGGGGAAAAAAACGUUUUCACCCAGAAAGUUGUGAAUUUAUGGAAUUCUCUGCCACAGAGGGCAGCGGAGGCCAAUUCACUGGAUGGAUUUAAGAAAGAGUUAGAUAGAGCUCUAUGGACUAGUGGAGUCAAGGGAUAUGGGGAGAAGGCAGGCACGGGUUAUUGAUAGUGGACGAUCAGCCAUGAUCACAAUGAAUGGCGGUGCUGGCUCGAAGGGCCGAACAGCCUCCUCCUGCGCCUAUUUUCUAUGUUUCUAUGAAAUGAGUGCAAGUUGGCCUGGAGUUAUAUUUUGUGUGGCCAGGAAUUAAUUUCAUAUCUGCCCCAUACUUUAGUUUCUACAGAUCUCAUGGACAUGCGCUCUGAACUGCCGAGUCCGUUUCUUAAGAGUCGGGAGUGGAGAACAUUGCUAUUGCAGGAAUAGUUCACAGCGAAGGAAGUUUAACUGCUGUAAAACUGAGUGUUUACUCGCACGUUUGGCCAAAUACAUCAGUCAGUUGUCUGACCGGCAAUUGGAUGAAGUGAAAUCUUCAGACCAUGGUUUAAAAAAGAACCUAUGGGAAGGAAUUACAGAUGCUGGUUUACACCGAAGAUAGUCACAGAAUGGUAGAAUAACUCAGCGGGACAUGCAGCAUCUCUGGAGAAGGAAUCCCUUCCUGCUAACUCUGGAUACCAGGGAUCUUCUUUAGAUCCAGUCACUGCUGCAAUGAAAAGCUUAUCAGUCAACAGAGAGCAAACUGCCACUAGUAUCAAUGUGAUAUUGACCAGACAAACAGGUUUAUUUUGCUAGUUUAACUGAGGGAACUGUAAAGGCAAGAAUCCUGGGCUAACUCAGUUAUAUUAUUCGAUGUUUUCUGUUCACUCAAAAAUCUCAUGAAGAACAGCAUCUUAGUGAGGAGGUUCCUGUUGGGCUGGAUUGGAGUUUGCUUGACUGAGACAUUCUGAGGUCAUAAAUGCACUUUCCUUCUUUACUCCUUAGCAUGUUGGUGUAAACAUCAUCCCCUCCAAGCUGGUUUCCAAGCUCGCGGAACUGGGUCUCUGCGCAUCUCCCUGCAUAUGGAUCCUCGACUUCCUCAUCCACAUACCACAGGCUGUUCGAAUUGGUAGAAAUACUUCACCCUCAUUAACAAUCAGUACGGGAGCAUCUCAAGGCUGUGUAUUCAGCCCCCUGCUCUACUCACUCUAUACUCAUGACUGUGUAGCCGGCCGGACAUAGUGCAAACUCCAUCUUCAAGUUUGCCGAUGACACCACCAUUGAUGGACGAAUUACAGAUGGGGAUGAGUCCGAGUAUAGAAGUGAGAUCGACCGAUUGAACAAAUGGUGUCAGCACAACAACCUGGCUCUCAAUGCCAAUGAACUGAUUGUGGACUUUGGAAGAGGAAGGAUGAGGGACCACAAUCCUGUUUUUAUGCCGGUGGAGAGAGUCAAAAACUUCAAAUUCCUGGACGUGCAUAUUUCAGAAGAUCUUCCCUGGACCCAGCACACUGAUGCAAUUAUAAAUAAAGCACUUUGGAACUGUU